RNAcentral lists this ribosomal RNA (368 nucleotides) under uncultured bacterium. RNAcentral's name for it is "bacterial SSU rRNA". It matches the Rfam family "Bacterial small subunit ribosomal RNA", at positions 588 to 954 of the family's 1533-position model. The record is from RNAcentral.
UCUGCUGUGCCGCCUUCCAGUUCUCCUGGGAAAUGCAUCGUUAAACUCGAGAACUUGAGUGCAGAAGAGGACAGUGGAACUCCAUGUGUAGCGGUGAAAUGCGUAGAUAUAUGGAAGAACACCAGUGGCGAAGGCGGCUGUCUGGUCUGUAACUGACGCUGAGGCUCGAAAGUAUGGGUAGCAAACAGGAUUAGAUACCCUGGUAGUCCAUACCGUAAACGAUGAAUGCUAAGUGUUGGAGGGUUUCCGCCCUUCAGUGCUGCAGCUAACGCAUUAAGCAUUCCGCCUGGGGAGUACGGCCGCAAGGCUGAAACUCAAAGGAAUUGACGGGGGCCCGCACAAGCGGUGGAGCAUGUGGUUUAAUUCGA